AAUUAAACAUGCAAGCGAGUCAAGCCUUGUGCACCAGCAAUAACACUGGCUUUAGGAGUCCUAAAGGACAGGAAUUACUGCUAUUAUAAAUACUAGAUUAUAGAAGAUAGAUUGACAUCCCCA
This is a long non-coding RNA of Etheostoma spectabile (orangethroat darter), 123 nucleotides long. RefSeq lists it as uncharacterized. Lineage: Eukaryota; Metazoa; Chordata; Actinopteri; Perciformes; Percidae. The record is from RefSeq and is a predicted model, not a curated record. The transcript has 3 exons.